CCUCGAUCGGACUGUGCCUGUCCUUUGUGCUUUCAUGCUUCUGAUGAAAGUGCCUAGUGAACUCCUGCCGAGGUGAAAACUGUUUUAUCUAACGUAGCAUAUCUACCGUGCAAGCAGUAGAUCACUAGUAACCGCGGAAGCAUCGAAUACGAAUCGCAUUCCAGGAAUUGAAAUGGUGUAAAAUUUCAGAUAAUCCAGUCGAACUGGAGCCUCCGUAGAGGUUUCAUGGAUUUAGUUGAAGAUGGCACCACCUGAGACCUUCCAGUAGCCAAGAGUGGGGUUGAAUACUGACAUGGUGGGGUAAGCCCGGGGGCAUUGAACAAAGGUUGGCUGCGUCGCUAACCGGCAGCGCAUUCACGAUUCAAACAUGGCAGCGGCUACCAGCGUUGUCGUGCUCGACAGGGGCAACAAUACCACCUGCACGAUCAAUUUACACGGAGCCACCGUGGUGUCUUGGAGGGUGAACAAUCAGGAACAGCUGUUCGUCAGCAAGCAGGCCGUCUUCGAUGGCAAGAAGGCCAUUAGGGGAGGAAUUCCAUUUGUCUUCCCACAAUUCGGUGCGUGGACCUUUGGCCCAGGACAUGGAUUCGCACGGAUCAUCCGUUGGAACGUUGAAAAAUCACCCGAACGUCUUCCCAGUGGAGACGUCGAAGCCAUUUUUUCCAUAAUGGACAGCGAGUUCACCCGUUCCAUGUGGAAUUAUCCCUUCAGAUUAACUUACAGGCUAAUUCUUCGAGAAAAGGAGUUACACUUCAACAUUGGCGUCUAUAAUCCCAGCAAGGAUCAUACCUUCAGUUUCAAUCUUCUCCUGCACACGUAUUUUAAAGUGCCAGACGUCAGGAGAUGCCAGGUCACCGGACUACACGGAUGUACCUUUAUAGAUAAGACACGGGACAACCAAAUCUUUCAAGAGGGUCGGGACGUGGUGACGGUCUGCGAGUGGACAGACAGAAUCUACCAGAACACGCAGCCUGAGCACAUCAUCACGAACGUCGUUUCCGGUAGGAAGAUGCGCGUUCAGAAGUACAAUUUCCCCGACACCGUCGUCUGGAAUCCUUGGCAGGACAAGGCGCGCGACAUACCGGACUUUGGCGACGAUGAGUUUCCCAAUAUGAUAUGUGUGGAAAGUGGACACGUCAGUAGUCCUGUAAUUCUCGUGCCAGGAACGGCGUUCGAAGCCAGCCAGAUACUUCAGGUGAUGUGAGUAGAGGGUGGACCGUCUUCGCAUGUCACGACGAACAGCGGCUCCAACUCGUUACUCCCGGUGACGCCGACAAGACCAACGGUCUGGCCGUCCGGAGCUGGGUGGCUCUACAUGCCGCCACCUCCGCCACCUCCGCCACCUCCGCAGUCACACCCUCCGCAUCUUCAUGCACACUGCAUCGCACAAACUUGCACAAUAUGCUCCUUGAAUCUAUAAGUAGCCCGAUAUAUCGUCCGUCGUCAACUAUCCAUCAGGAAACCACGUUAUUUAUAUACUGAUGGCUCAAUUAGAAUUAGCCAAUAGCCAAUAGCCAAUAGCCAAUAGCCAAUAGCCGACCUAUUCUCGCCGUCUUCGAGCACUUCGACCUCAUGACCUACUGGUUUUUUUCUCUCUCUCCAAAAGAGAGUCCUUCCUGUCAAAGAGCCAUCCUCCUUCUGUGAGUCCUUCAUUUUCCUAUAGUGCAAUAGUUGUUCGAUUAUCGGACACAUCCGCGGAAACGGAGGGUGCAUAUAUCAAAGAUAUAUGGACAAAUUUUUUUCUCCAAAUUUUGGACUUUCAUUGUAUUUAAAAAUCGGGCCACGAUAAAAUUGACUCGUUACUAUAUUAGUGAAUGAUCCUGUCUGUAAGCACUUUCCAUUGAACAUGCGACUCGUCAAGGGCGGUCCAUACAUUCCACUCGAUUUCCAAAAUCUAUGAAAACGACAGUUUCAUGUUCCUCAUCUAUCAUUCCUGAAUUUUUGGCGUAUCUACUGAUAACUAUGGUGCGGAACCUUUCCCACGUCAGUUAUCGAAGUUUCACGAUAAAAGUUAAGCGUGUAGCAAACAGGUAUAUGCACCUACGUAGGUACGUAAGAAUGUGAUAAAUAAGUUCUCGCACUUUGAACUCGUCUUCUUGUUUUAUUCAACGAAAGCGUUAAUUAACCUACGAACAAUACAGAGAUGGUGCUAAUUUAACGAGUUACGAUUCAACUAGAUAGCGAGCUAUUGUCCUAACACGAAGUGCAUUGCACUUCCUAUUGGCACCAAUGAUGAGAAACAGAGUAGAUUAAAAAAGAAGAAAGAGAAUACGGCGGGGAAACAAUAUUACAUCAUCGAAAUAGAUUUAAGCAAUAAUUACGCCAUAAUGUACCGGUAUUAUUAUAAAAUUACGAUUGCGUGUCCGACGAUUGUAAGAAGCAUUAACUCAUCAAUUGCUAUAAAUCACAUGGAUAAGUAUACGAUAAUGGACAACAACUUUAGGAAAGUCUUUCGAUUCUGCCGCCCAUUGAUCGAGUUAGGUAACGCGACGACGCCAAUAUUCAUAUUUAAGGGAAUCGUCUAUAGGAGUAAUUUAAACUAUUCGUCCAUUUCUCCUGUACAGUUAGAAAAGCGAUAUACGAUAUUCUUCUGGUUAUGAUUAUCUUUUUUUUUUUCUUCUUCUUAAGGAGGACAAAACACUGACGUAGGAUAUAUAAGUCUAUUGGUGCUCAAUUAGAAUGGAUACGAAAAACAUUAGAGUGCCAUUAGUAUAAUUUGCUUCAUCUUGAUUUUGAAUAUUCUUCAUUUGCAUUGCAAGGUCCAGAGCCAAGAUGAAGUUUUAUCUAUGGGCAUGUGACCUUUGAUUACUUCAAAUGCCUCCUCCCACCUAGUUAGUAUAAGUGACUACCUUAGUAUUCUUUCUCGACUACUUCAUCCUGGUCCCACCGUAUACAGUUGCUGGACCACCAAUCUUCGGGCAGACACCAUACACUAAUUCUAAACGUAUGGCGCUCGACUUUGUUAGAAUAUUGUUCCUACUUGGUUGAACGAAUUGUUAGCUGGUGUGCAGCUCAGGAGCGACCGAGAGUGAAUUUUCUUAGAAAAUGUGUAGAGAGAGAGAGAGAGAGAGACAGAGGUAAAGAGUGCAAGCGAUAGGAAAUAAAUAAAAGAAACAAUGAGUGACAGUAGAAGCUUGAGGAAGGACUCGGUCGUUCAUUACGAUGGUAUCGUGAUUUUUCAUUCGCGAGUAAUGCCUUAAUAUCGUUUAAUAGAUACGACGCAGGAUACACUAAGGAUAAACGCAGUAUACGAGAAGAUAAUGUUUUUCAUUAAUCUUUUCAUUCUCAUAGACGUACGUCAUUUUUGGUACAAUGAAUUUUUUAAUGUUGCGAAUGAAUGAAAUUUACACCGUUAAAAAUUUGCCCAAGGAUAAUAAGACACAGGGAAUUAAUACACAUGCUUGUAAUAAUGAGUUUUACGUCAUUAAUGUGCAGUGACGGUAAUGAAUAAUUUAGAAGUGAAAUAACAAUAUUAUGAUUGAUAAAAGACAAGAUAUAUGCCAACACUACCUAAUGUAAUUAUAACGAUGAUACUUGAAGAUAACUAGUAAUGAAGCGAAUUACUCGUAAUAUUUAAAAAUAAGAAGACUAUGAUAAGGGUUUUGGUCUUUAGAGGCUAGACAAUAUUUUCAAUUUUUAAAGUAACGUUAAUUCACUUUUUUAUAUCUUCUUUCCCAUGUUAAUAACGUAGAAUGAAAAAAAGAGAUAGAUAGACAAGAGAGAGAGAGAGAGAGAGAGAGAGAGAGAGAGAGAGAGAGAGAGAGAGAGAGAGAAUGAGUGAAAGAGAAAAAAAAAGAGAUUUGGUCUUCCACCACGUUCAUUAUUACUUGUUCUACUCAUAUGAGUUGAUGAAGUUGAUGAGACGCGCCGAAAGCGGCUAUCGUCGGUCACGUAUGUAGUAUGUUUCUCACACGUGAUUUCUUCAAUAAUCUUCUAAAUAAUCCUCAUAUGUUCUGUAGACUAACGGUAAUCGUAUUAAUACUGAAGCCUGACAAUUGCAAGUAACAAGUGUGUUGAAAAUGUACUCUUUUUUUUUUUGGGAAAGUGCAAUAAAAAUAUGGGAAAUAACUGUCA
Molecule: RNA transcript, 4074 nt
Organism: Cephus cinctus (wheat stem sawfly)
Lineage: Eukaryota; Metazoa; Arthropoda; Insecta; Hymenoptera; Cephidae
Gene name: glucose-6-phosphate 1-epimerase
Exons: 8
Source: RefSeq, a predicted model, not a curated record